AGCAAAUAUUCAAAGUAAAUAAACCAUGACUGAAGAAAUGAUAUGUGUAAAUGCUUAUACAAUUGGAUAAUGAACACCAAUAAAGUCUCAUUAUUGUAUAGCAAUAUAAUAUAUUGUACAGAAAGUAACCAAAAGUAAGCGUGCAAUAAAUUCUAUUAUUGCACUCAUGCAAUAACCCUAUAUUAUUCGAGGGGGCGGUUCCAAAUAAUCUCCAUGGGAAGAGAUAUGCCAAUGCUACUACAUAUGAUUGACCUACCACUAGUGCAUGGUUCUUUAUAAACUGAACUAAUCACAAACUCAUACAUGUAAACUUAAAAUAGUUUUUAAGUCAAUAGACCAUGAUUGAGGGGUUGGGCCAAAUAAUCUCCAUGGUAGAUGUUUUCGAAUAUCAAACAAAAAAAAUCAUAAACAAUAGUAGCAAACAUCCUUCAGGAUGCAUUCCUUUGACAAUUCAGUCUUGUUGAAUUCUUGUAAAUUAUCAGCAAUUGCAUACAAAUUAAUGUUUAGUUUAUAUCAUGGAAAUAAUGAAAUGUAUAGAAUCUAUCCUUAAUAAAACUGGUUUAUCUCGAAUUCUGUAUGGAUAACUCAAACUUGUAUAAAUGAAAUUUGGUUUAAAGACUAUUGUAAGAACAUUUCUCCAAGAUCAAUUUAAACAAACAUGGUACUCAGAUAUUCAAACGAACUCGAAAACAUUGAAUUAUCGCCUUUUGAGGAAGUUUUCGGAUUCGAAAAGUAUUUAGACAAUUUUAAACCCCGAGAUAUUUAUAAUUUAAGUCAAUUUAGACUCAUUAACCACAAACCUAUAGAAAGUGGAAGAUGGAAAAAAAUUCAAAGAGAUAAAUGAAUAUGUGCCUUAAAAGAUCUUGGAGAUGAAUUCCACUAAGUAAUGAAGUGUAAAUCUAUGGCUAUACAAAGAAAAAAGUAUAUUGCUAAAAAUCAUAUUGAUUAUCCAAAUAUAAUUGAAUUUUGGAAGUAAUGAAUAUGUCAAAACA
RNAcentral lists this long non-coding RNA (992 nucleotides) under Mytilus galloprovincialis (Mediterranean mussel). Lineage: Eukaryota; Metazoa; Mollusca; Bivalvia; Mytilida; Mytilidae. The record is from RNAcentral.